Molecule: non-coding RNA, 1554 nt
Organism: Neolamprologus brichardi
Lineage: Eukaryota; Metazoa; Chordata; Actinopteri; Cichliformes; Cichlidae
Source: RefSeq, a predicted model, not a curated record
GCUGGGAUUCUUCUUCGCAGGCCUAAAUACUCUUUUUUUUUUAGCUGCAGUCAUUUUCUGUAGUCAUUCAGCCCCCGUCCUUAUUUAGUCCAUCAAUGGUUUCUUUUUUUUUCUAAAUUUUUCACACUGCUCUAAGUUGAAUGUACAUUUCCUGUGUGAAGUUUCCCAUUUCUGCUUUUUUUGUUGUUGUCUCUUAUUAGAUUUUACAGAUAAGGUGCCAGAGUCAGUUCUUUGGUUCUUGUGUUGGCCAACUAGCACCGAUUGCAAACUCAAAGGCUUUUAUUUGUCUGUGCAAUUCACAAUUUACUACUGUCAGUAAGUCAUUAACUUGCAUUUUCAUAUCUCAAAAGAAGUAUUAAAAUAGCUCUUUGUAUAAAAUGAUAAAGCGUGGGGUCAUGUAAAUAGCAUGAAAUAAAAGCUAGAUCCCAUGACUCUGAAUAUUAAAAGUACUGUUAAAAUACAUAACAUUACAGUAUGUUCUACUGAAAUUAAGCAGAUGACCAGAAAGAGUGAUAUUACCUGUCUGGUCUCAAUGUCUUCAUGUUUGAUACCCUUUACCUCCACCUCUCUGAAGACUUUGGGUUCUGGGUUUGGCUUACUCAGGUCACAGUGGUAAAUGAUACCUGGAUACAGCAUAAUAGAAAUCAAAGUUAGACGUCCAGCGUGACUGGUUGCAUUUAAAUAGUUAAAUAUAUGGUCAUUUUAUUAAGAAAUUCUGAUAAUAUCAUGCAAAUUAAUUCAAUUUCAAAAGACAUGAUCUGCAACUUUAGUAAAAUAGGCUAAUUAUAGGAGUAUUUUAUGUUGCAAUUAAUCCUCUGUUGUAAUAACAAUAGCAAACAGCUGCAUAUCAGAAAGCAUUUAAUCUGUUAAAUAUCUGCCUUGGUCACACAAACUCAUACUUUAUUGAGUUUUUGGAGAAGUAAUUGCAAUAAUAUUUGUAUAUUUUUUUGCAUGUAAGAAGUGUAUUUCAUGUGGUUCAUACUCAUGGAAAAACUCAAGUAUAUAAAAACUGGAAUUGCCUGGUGUAGUAAAGGAGGUAAACUUGUAGAAGAACUCAGAGUGUUUCUUCUUGCAGCUCACUCCGGCCACAGUGCCCACAUCCAGCGGCAGGUCUCUGACAAGCCGGCCUGUAGACAACUCGCAUACUUGCAGGAUAUCCUUCACAUCAUGGACAUAGUUGACCAACAGGUGGUGCUGGUUCACACAUGACACAAAGCCUGCAGGAAAAUAAAGGAGGAAAUCACACUAUUUAUACUUCCUCCUCCUGUCGAUUCCCGACAAUGAUCUCAGCAAUAAGGAGUAAUCUCAUGAUUACUCAAGUAUGAGUUUCCCAGUGCGCCAAGAGCUAUACAGCUGUUUUUACCACAAGUAAAAUGUUGUGACGUGUUGUUCGCACUUCUCAAAGGUAACAUGGACAUUUGUGUAUGUUUCAUUCAUCACCAAGUACAAUUACGGUCAUUCAAGUGACACGAACAAAGAAAAAAAAAAUUACAACACAAAGUGCUUAUGGACAGAGUUUCACUUUUUGAGCAGAGUUCCCUCUGACGAAGGUUU